RNA transcript from Gymnodraco acuticeps, 2589 nucleotides. It is a transcript of the gene named chordin-like 2, with no coding region annotated. The record is from RefSeq and is a predicted model, not a curated record. The transcript has 11 exons. Lineage: Eukaryota; Metazoa; Chordata; Actinopteri; Perciformes; Bathydraconidae.
GUUUCUGUCCUGCACAAACAGACUUAUUGCGCGGUUAAGACCCAGACACGCACAUGUAAAAGAUGAAGUCCACGUUUUUCUUCUUUUUCAUCAUUUGGCUUGCAGAUGCAGAGCUGAAAACCCGGAAAGGUUCUCGGGUGGUAUGCACUUUCAAAGACAAGACAUACAGCCCAGGAGACAGCUGGCAUCCUUAUCUGGAGCCCUUUGGAUUCAUGUACUGCAUGCGCUGUGUCUGCUCAGAGACAGGCCAUGUGAAAUGCAAAACGAUCAAGUGCCCUGCUCUGCCCUGUGAACACCCAGUAGCUGAGCCUCAGCAGUGCUGUCCCAGAUGCACAGAUGAGCCCAGGACCCCUGCAGGGCUGAGAGCUUCAGUGAAGUCCUGCAGGUACAACGGGAGUGUUUAUCAGCCGGGGGAGACCUUCACCAAGCUCGACCUCUUCCCCUCCAAGCAGAGCAACCAGUGUGUCGUGUGCACAUGCUCUAAUGGAAAUAUCUUCUGCGGUCUGAAAACAUGCCAACCAAUCACCUGUUCCUCUGCUGUCUCAGUCCCAGACACUUGCUGUUUGGUGUGUAAAGAUACUGGCACAAGUGGGUCCUCAUCAACUGAGGAGGGAAACCAGCAACUGAACAGAGGCGUUAGGCAUUCAGUGGAUCAGUGUUCUGGAGAGCCGGGCAGGGUGCGGUUCGACCGUGCCACUCCCCCCAGGGUCAGGGCUGCUCCCAGAGGCUUCGCUAGAUUCAACCUCAAAGGGGCUUCAGAGACCACCGUGAAGAUUUUGUUGCAGAGGAAACACCAUAGAGCGUGUUCCUACAAUAGCAAGACGUACUCUCAUGGAGACAUGUGGCACCCAGUUUUGGGUAAGGUCCUGGAAUGCAUCCUGUGCACUUGUACUGAUGGCCUCCAGGACUGCAAACGCAUCACUUGUCCCAGCCAGUACCCAUGCCAACAUCCUAUGAAAUCAGCGGGAAAGUGCUGCAAGACUUGUCCAGAACAUAAAACUGAACGUAACCAGACCCAGUGUUAUACUGGACAUAAAAGCAAUGUCUUCGUGUAUAAAGUGGACUCAUCGAUGAAAGUGGACCCACCCGACACGGUCAGGAUCAUUGCUGUUGAAAAACAAAGUACUGCUGAGGUCGAAGUGCAAGUAUGGAAGACUGUAGAAGGUACUGUAACUGUUAGUGAGAACCAUAUCAAAGGAAUAGUUUUACGCUUUUGUUGGAUGAGAGAGCAUUGAAAGCACUCUGACCACUAUGAAGCCAGCAGGCAGUCUUUCGAGCCUAUGUGAAGAUGCCUUGAACCUGCCUUUUUCCCCUGAUAGCCAGCAGGGGGCGUUGCAAUGUUUGCAUAUAAGAAGUCUGAUUGUAUAGAAGUCUAUGAGAAAAUGACCCAACUUCUCACUUUAUUUAUCAUCUCCGUUAACCAUUUCCUGAUAAUUCAAGUAUUUUUAGAGUAAAAUAGACAAUAAAGCAACCUUGGCUACCUUGUGAAUAUCGGUUACUCCCACGUUGUUGUCCAUGUCUUUCUUCUAAGAAAUGUAACACUUUUAAAUGUUUCUCAUCUGAAUUCUUCCUUUAUACAGGUGUUUUAGAGCUAAUGGAUAUUGGUGACGUUGAAAGAAAAAAUAUUGUGGAUAAUCCAGAAAAUUACACAUUACUGACAACACUUAAUGAAGAGACGUGGAAAAAGUUUAAAGAGGAGGGAGAACAUUUGAGUACAGCUCCUCAGACGACAAUCUGUGAAGACGGCAUUCGGGAGAUGGUGACUUUCUUAAAUCCCAAGCAGACAGAAGACGUAUGCUCACCCUGAAGGUUGUUUUACUCCCGUGACACUCCUUGUAUCGACCAAUAACUACAUGGAUAUCAUACAGUAAAUACUUUAUUCAUACAUGUUGAACUUGGAUGUCCUGCGUCAUUCCUGUAUUACAAGUGGAAUUUCAAAAUUAUAAUACUGUUUUUCGUGUUUUUAACCAUCACACAUAUUUUAAAGUUACAAAACACAACUGGCAGAUAGUUCUGACACCUUUCUUGAUUAAAAUGUGGUUUUGUUUUGUGGAGUAUAGAGAUCAGAGUUUAGAGCAGGAGACGCCCUCAGUGUGAAUCUUUUGGAUGAUUGAGGACCUUUGGGGAUCAGCAUUUUAGGCAUCUGUUCAAAAUGUAAAGGUUUUCUAAGGCUGUUAUAUGAUUAUCAACAUAUUUAUUGUUAAUACAAACAGAGCUUUGACAACUUAUUUAAAAUAUAUGUUUUGUUGAAUGCUUUUUGUAUAUACAUUUACAUUUCUUUGCAUCCAGAGUCAUUUUAUUAGGGUUUGAUCUGUCAGCUAAUACAGGGCUGUGCCGAAGCUGCUUGUUUUUUAGCGAGAAAACAGCCUUUUCCUAAUCCUUCUGAUGUGAAAAUGAAGACAUUGUGUAGCUAUUUUUAUGCAGCCACAGGAUUUGGUUUGUUAUUAUACACUAAUGACUUUCUAUCAAUCCACAUACCAGAAAUAUUUCUUUUUUAAAGUGGUCAUAUUCGAUAUAGCUGAAUGCACUCUGUACACCUGCUUACAAUUUUAACCCAUAAAGUUAUUCAGUGUUUUACACAAGUCAAAA